Molecule: ribosomal RNA, 296 nt
Filed under: Faughnia formosae
Lineage: Eukaryota; Metazoa; Arthropoda; Malacostraca; Stomatopoda; Parasquillidae
Also listed under: 1 other name
Description: partial large subunit ribosomal RNA
Rfam family: Eukaryotic large subunit ribosomal RNA
Source: RNAcentral
CCCCCAGUAAGGGCGACUGAACGGGGAGGAGCCCAGCGCGGAACCUCGCGCGCCUGACCGGCUGCGUCUGAGGAAUGUCGCGUUUCGGAGGGGCCUUCUCCGACCACACCGACCCCCCCCAAGUCCGCUUGAACGCGGCCACUACCCAUGGAGGGUGCGAGGCCCGUACGGGGAUUAGGAGUCGGGCGGUCGGACGGCCCCGUCCGUAGAGUCGGGUUGCCUACUAACGCAGCCCAAAGCAGGUGGUAAACUCCAUCCAAGGCUAAAUACGACCACGAGACCGAUAGCGAACAAGU